RNAcentral lists this transfer RNA (72 nucleotides) under Phrynosoma platyrhinos (Desert horned lizard). Its description in RNAcentral is "tRNA-OTHER". Lineage: Eukaryota; Metazoa; Chordata; Lepidosauria; Squamata; Phrynosomatidae. The record is from RNAcentral.
GGCAGCAUGGCAUAGUGGUUUGAAUGUUGGACUCCAACUCUGGAGACCAAGUUUCAAUUCCCAGUUCAGCCA